AGUUUGAUUAUGGCUCAGGACGAACGCUGGCGGCGCGCCUAACACAUGCAAGUCGAACGGAGGUAUUGAGACGGAAGCUUCGGCGGAAGACUUAAUACUUUAGUGGCGAACGGGUGAGUAACACGUGAGGAACCUGCCUUUAAGAGGGGGAUAACACUUAGAAAUAGGUGCUAAUACCGCAUAAGACCACAGAGCGGCAUCGCUCAGGGGUCAAAGGAGGAAUCCGCUUAAAGAUGGCCUCGCGUCCGAUUAGGUAGUAGGCGGGCAACGGCCCACCUAGCCUGCGAUCGGUAGCCGGACUGAGAGGUUGAACGGCCACAUUGGGACUGAGACACGGCCCAGACUCCUACGGGAGGCAGCAGUGGGGAAUAUUGGGCAAAGUGGGGGAAACCCUGACCCAGCGACGCCGCGUGAGGGAAGAAGGUUUUCGGAUUGUAAACCUCUGUCUUCGGGGACGAUAGUGACGGUACCCGAGGAGGAAGCCACGGCUAACUACGUGCCAGCCGCGGC
This 510-nucleotide ribosomal RNA is filed under the name uncultured bacterium. Its description in RNAcentral is "bacterial SSU rRNA". It matches the Rfam family "Bacterial small subunit ribosomal RNA", at positions 10 to 518 of the family's 1533-position model. The record is from RNAcentral.